CUACGGGCGGCUGCAGUGGGGAAUAUUGGACAAUGGGGGAAACCCUGAUCCAGCAAUGCCGCGUGUGUGAAGAAGGCCUGCGGGUUGUAAAGCACUUUCGGUUGGGAGGACUGCUUCUAGCACUAAUAUUGUUGGAAGUUGACGUUACCUUCAGAAGAAGCACCGGCUAACUCCGUGCCAGCAGCCGCGGGUAAUACGGAGGGUGCAAGCGUUAAUCGGAAUUACUGGGCGUAAAGCGCGCGUAGGCGGCUAGAUCAGUCGGGUGUGAAAGCCCCGGGCUUAACCUGGGAACUGCAUCCGAUACUGUCUAGCUUGAGGACAGGAGAGGAGAGUGGAAUUCCACAUGUAGCGGGGAAAUGCGUAGAUAUGUGGAGGAACACCAAUGGCGAAGGCAGCUCUCUGGCCUGAUACUGACGCUGAGGUGCGAAAGCGUGGGGAGCAAACAGGAUUAGAUACCCCUGUAGUC
This 466-nucleotide ribosomal RNA is filed under the name uncultured bacterium. RNAcentral describes it as "partial 16S ribosomal RNA". It matches the Rfam family "Bacterial small subunit ribosomal RNA", at positions 339 to 795 of the family's 1533-position model. The record is from RNAcentral.